AUACUUACCUGGCAGGGGAGACACCAUGAUCAAGAAGGUGAUCAAGAAGACUGCAUAAUUAAUGGUAGUGGGGGACUGCGUUCACGCUCUCCCCUG
Small nuclear RNA from Cyprinus carpio carpio, 96 nucleotides. Its record names the gene U1. It matches the Rfam family "U1 spliceosomal RNA". From Rfam's summary of the family: U1 is a small nuclear RNA (snRNA) component of the spliceosome (involved in pre-mRNA splicing). NCBI's taxonomy places the organism in Eukaryota, Metazoa, Chordata, Actinopteri, Cypriniformes, Cyprinidae. The record is from Ensembl.